UUACUGAGUUUACGCUCUAUAACCCUUUGUGAACAUACCUAUAACUGUUGCUUCGGCGGGUAGGGUCUCCGCGACCCUCCCGGCCUCCCGCCCCCGGGCGGGUCGGCGCCCGCCGGAGGAUAACCAAACUCUGAUUUAACGACGUUUCUUCUGAGUGGUACAAGCAAAUAAUCAAAACUUUUAACAACGGAUCUCUUGGUUCUGGCAUCGAUGAAGAACGCAGCGAAAUGCGAUAAGUAAUGUGAAUUGCAGAAUUCAGUGAAUCAUCGAAUCUUUGAACGCACAUUGCGCCCGCCAUCAUUCUGGCGGGCAUGCCUGUUCGAGCGUCAUUUCAACCCUCAAGCUCUGCUUGGUGUUGGGGCCCUACAGCUGAUGUAGGCCCUCAAAGGUAGUGGCGGACCCUCCCGGAGCCUCCUUUGCGUAGUAACUUUACGUCUCGCACUGGGAUCCGGAGGGACUCUUGCCGUAAAACCCCCAAUUUUCCAAAGGUUGACCUCGGAUCAGGUAGGAAUACCCGCUGAACUUAAGCAUAUCAAUAAGCGGAGGAAAAGAAACCAACAGGGAUUGCCUCAGUAACGGCGAGUGAAGCGGCAACAGCUCAAAUUUGAAAUCUGGCCCUAGGCCCGAGUUGUAAUUUGCAGAGGAUGCUUUUGGUGCGGUGCCUUCCAAGUUCCCUAGAACGGGACGCCAGAGAGGGUGAGAGCCCCGUACAGUUGGACACCAAGCCUUUGUAAAGCUCCUUCGACGAGUCGAGUAGUUUGGGAAUGCUGCUCAAAAUGGGAGGUAUAUUUCUUCUAAAGCUAAAUACCGGCCAGAGACCGAUAGCGCACAAGUAGAGUGAUCGAAAGAUGAAAAGCACUUUGAAAAGAGGGUUAAACAGCACGUGAAAUUGUUAAAAGGGAAGCGCUUGUGACCAGACUUGCGUCCGGUGAAUCACCCAGCUCUCGCGGCUGGGGCACUUCGCCGGCUCAGGCCAGCAUCAGCUCGCUGUCGGGGACAAAAGCUUCAGGAACGUAGCUCUCUUCGGGGAGUGUUAUAGCCUGUUGCAUAAUACCCUUCGGCGGGCUGA
RNAcentral lists this unclassified non-coding RNA (1069 nucleotides) under leaf metagenome. RNAcentral's name for it is "partial contains internal transcribed spacer 1, 5.8S ribosomal RNA, internal transcribed spacer 2, and large subunit ribosomal RNA". The stretch from base 491 to 1069 matches the Rfam family "Eukaryotic large subunit ribosomal RNA", at positions 1 to 591 of the family's 3401-position model. The record is from RNAcentral.